UCCUUAGUGGCUCAGUGAUAGAGAAUCUGCCUGCCAAUGCAGGAGACACAGGUUCAAUUCCUGAUCUGGGAA
RNAcentral lists this transfer RNA (72 nucleotides) under Bos taurus (domestic cattle). It matches the Rfam family "tRNA". From Rfam's summary of the family: Transfer RNA (tRNA) molecules are approximately 80 nucleotides in length. Their secondary structure includes four short double-helical elements and three loops (D, anti-codon, and T loops). RNAcentral also lists the same sequence under 4 other names. Lineage: Eukaryota; Metazoa; Chordata; Mammalia; Artiodactyla; Bovidae. The record is from Rfam by way of RNAcentral.